RNAcentral lists this ribosomal RNA (484 nucleotides) under uncultured bacterium. RNAcentral's name for it is "partial 16S ribosomal RNA". It matches the Rfam family "Bacterial small subunit ribosomal RNA", at positions 30 to 507 of the family's 1533-position model. The record is from RNAcentral.
AUUGAACGCUGGCGGCAGGCCUAACACAUGCAAGUCGAGCGGAUGAAGGGAACUUGCUCCUGGAUUCAGCGGCGGACGGGUGAGUAAUGCCUAGGAAUCUGCCUGGUAGUGGGGGAUAACGUCCGGAAACGGGCGCUAAUACCGCAUACGUCCUGAGGGAGAAAGUGGGGGAUCUUCGGACCUCACGCUAUCAGAUGAGCCUAGGUCGGAUUAGCUAGUUGGUGGGGUAAAGGCCUACCAAGGCGACGAUCCGUAACUGGUCUGAGAGGAUGAUCAGUCACACUGGAACUGAGACACGGUCCAGACUCCUACGGGAGGCAGCAGUGGGGAAUAUUGGACAAAGGGCGGAAGCCUGAUCCAGCCAUGCCGCGUGUGUGAAGAAGGUCUUCGGAUUGUAAAGCACUUUAAGUUGGGAGGAAGGACAGUAAGUUAAUACCUUGCUGUUUUGACGUUACCAACAGAAUAAGCACCGGCUAACUUCGUG